Molecule: ribosomal RNA, 780 nt
Filed under: Pseudomonas sp.
Lineage: Bacteria; Pseudomonadati; Pseudomonadota; Gammaproteobacteria; Pseudomonadales; Pseudomonadaceae
Description: bacterial SSU rRNA
Rfam family: Bacterial small subunit ribosomal RNA
Source: RNAcentral
GAAGAGAGCUUGCUCUCUGAUUCAGCGGCGGACGGGUGAGUAAUGCCUAGGAAUCUGCCUGGUAGUGGGGGACAACGUUUCGAAAGGAACGCUAAUACCGCAUACGUCCUACGGGAGAAAGCAGGGGACCUUCGGGCCUUGCGCUAUCAGAUGAGCCUAGGUCGGAUUAGCUAGUUGGUGAGGUAAAGGCUCACCAAGGCGACGAUCCGUAACUGGUCUGAGAGGAUGAUCAGUCACACUGGAACUGAGACACGGUCCAGACUCCUACGGGAGGCAGCAGUGGGGAAUAUUGGACAAUGGGCGAAAGCCUGAUCCAGCCAUGCCGCGUGUGUGAAGAAGGUCUUCGGAUUGUAAAGCACUUUAAGUUGGGAGGAAGGGCAGUAAGUUAAUACCUUGCUGUUUUGACGUUACCGACAGAAUAAGCACCGGCUAACUUCGUGCCAGCAGCCGCGGUAAUACGAAGGGUGCAAGCGUUAAUCGGAAUUACUGGGCGUAAAGCGCGCGUAGGUGGUUCGUUAAGUUGGAUGUGAAAGCCCCGGGCUCAACCUGGGAACUGCAUCCAAAACUGGCGAGCUAGAGUAUGGCAGAGGGUGGUGGAAUUUCUUGUGUAGCGGUGAAAAUGCGUAGAUAUAGGAAGGAACACCAGUGGCGAAGGCGACCACCUGGGCUAAUACUGACACUGAGGUGCGAAAGCGUGGGGGAGCAAAACAGGAUUAAUUACCCUGGUAGUCCACGCCGUAACGAUGUCGACUAGCCGUUGGGAUCCUUGAGAUCUUAGUG